GAGUUUGAUCCUGGCUCAGAUUGAACGCUGGCGGCAUGCCUUACACAUGCAAGUCGAACGGCAGCACGGGAGCUUGCUCCUGGUGGCGAGUGGCGAACGGGUGAGUAAUAUAUCGGAACGUACCCUAGAGUGGGGGAUAACGCAGCGAAAGUUGCGCUAAUACCGCAUACGAUCUACGGAUGAAAGUGGGGGAUCGCAAGACCUCAUGCUCAUGGAGCGGCCGAUAUCUGAUUAGCUAGUUGGUGGGAUAAAGGCCUACCAAGGCAUCGAUCAGUAGCUGGUCUGAGAGGACGACCAGCCACACUGGAACUGAGACACGGUCCAGACUCCUACGGGAGGCAGCAGUGGGGAAUUUUGGACAAUGGGGGCAACCCUGAUCCAGCAAUGCCGCGUGAGUGAAGAAGGCCUCGGUUGUAAG
RNAcentral lists this ribosomal RNA (418 nucleotides) under uncultured microorganism. Its description in RNAcentral is "bacterial SSU rRNA". It matches the Rfam family "Bacterial small subunit ribosomal RNA", at positions 9 to 429 of the family's 1533-position model. The record is from RNAcentral.